This 871-nucleotide long non-coding RNA is filed under the name Anas platyrhynchos platyrhynchos (common mallard). RNAcentral's name for it is "lncRNA (ENSAPLG00000021489.1)". Lineage: Eukaryota; Metazoa; Chordata; Aves; Anseriformes; Anatidae. The record is from RNAcentral.
CGAUAAAAAUAAGAGUGAAGGCUCUCAAAAUUAAGCAGAUACAGAAGGGUCUGAGGUAGGAUCCAACCAAUUAGAGCCUGUCUUUGGGCAAGGCUCUGGCGGCCACAGAAAGCCCACAGCACAGCUCCCAGCUGCACUGCAAGCCUCUGUCCCACUGCCCCCAGCUCAAAGCAAAGCAGACACCUGAAGCAGGCGGUGCUCCCCAAAAGCAGCGCCCCAAAAGAUGCUGGGACAGGCGCCAUGGGCAAGGCUGUCUCCUUCUGGCCCUGCUGUUCUGCUGCUGAUGCUCUGUGAGUUGGGGCAUUGCUGGGCAUGGGGGCUGAGGGCUGGAGGGCUGCUGCAGUGGGCAGUAGCAGCUCCCCCAGCUCCCCAUGCCCGGAUUCCGCACGCCCUCCCCGCAGGCACGGUGCUGGCAGUGGUGGCCGUCGGCCUCGUCCUCCUGGCUGCAGGCAGCUGCUUUGUCAUCAGGAAAGGUGAGGGAGUGGGGGAAGAAGAGGGAAAGGCUGAGGCCAUGGGGAUCCUGCUGUGGGACUCGUGCACUGGGAAAUGUGGUGGAGGGAACCUGGGGGUACGCAGCUGGGGCAGGCGGUGCCUGGGGGUGAUGGCUGUGGGCAGCCCAGCUGGGGAGGCUGCUGAGGGAGCUGGGGAGCUUCAGCCUUCAUCCCCCAGCCCCGAGAUGGGAGCCAAGACUGGGCAGCACCUUGACCUGCGCAUCUCAUCCCCUGUUCUUCUUGCAGGUGCCUGCAGAGGGAGAUGCCCAAGUGCUCAGGACUCUUCUGCUUACACCAGCCAUUUCUAUGCCAACGUGGAUGAGAUGGGCAGAGUGAAGCUGCUCUCAACACCCACUGGAUGUCAAAAGCUGAGCAAGUGA